GCCCCCUUAGCUCAAUGGUAGAGCAGCUGCCUUUUAAGCAGUUGACGUAGGUCCGAUUCCUACAGGGGGUA
This 71-nucleotide transfer RNA is filed under the name bacterium. RNAcentral describes it as "tRNA-Lys". It matches the Rfam family "tRNA". Rfam says of the family: Transfer RNA (tRNA) molecules are approximately 80 nucleotides in length. The record is from RNAcentral.